UUGUAAGUGUCUAAGGGCGCAUGGUGGAUGCCUUGGCAUCGAGAGCCGAUGAAGGACGUGGGAGGCUGCGAUAUGCCUCGGGGAGCUGUCAACCGAGCGUGGAUCCGAGGAUUUCCGAAUGGGGAAACCCAGCACGAGUGAUGUCGUGCUACCCGCAUCUGAAUAUAUAGGGUGCGGGAGGGAACGCGGGGAAGUGAAACAUCUCAGUACCCGUAGGAGGAGAAAACAAUUGUGAUUCCGCAAGUAGUGGCGAGCGAACGCGGAACAGGCUAAACCGCACGCAUGGGUAACCGGGUAGGGGUUGUGUGUGCGGGGUUGUGGGAGGAUAUGUCUCAGCGCUACCCGGCUGAGAGGCAGUCAGAAAGUGUCGUGGUUAGCGGAAGUGGCCUGGGAUGGUCUGCCGUAGACGGUGAGAGCCCGGUACGCGAAAACCCGGCACCUGCCUAGUAUCAAUUCCCGAGUAGCAGCGGGCCCGUGGAAUCCGCUGUGAAUCCGCCGGGACCACCCGGUAAGCCUAAAUACUCCUCGAUGACCGAUAGCGGAUUAGUACCGUGAGGGAAUGGUGAAAAGUACCCCGGGAGGGGAGUGAAAGAGUACCUGAAACCGUGUGCCUACAAUCCGUCAGAGCCUCCUUUUCCUCUCCGGAGGAGGGUGGUGAUGGCGUGCCUUUUGAAGAAUGAGCCUGCGAGUCAGGGACAUGUCGCAAGGUUAACCCGUGUGGGGUAGCCGCAGCGAAAGCGAGUCUGAAUAGGGCGACCCACACGCGCAUACGCGCGUGUGAAUAGUGGCGUGUUCUGGACCCGAAGCGGAGUGAUCUACCCAUGGCCAGGGUGAAGCGCGGGUAAGACCGCGUGGAGGCCCGAACCCACUUAGGUUGAAGACUGAGGGGAUGAGCUGUGGGUAGGGGUGAAAGGCCAAUCAAACUCCGUGAUAGCUGGUUCUCCCCGAAAUGCAUUUAGGUGCAGCGUUGCGUGGUUCACCGCGGAGGUAGAGCUACUGGAUGGCCGAUGGGCCCUACUAGGUUACUGACGUCAGCCAAACUCCGAAUGCCGUGGUGUAAAGCGUGGCAGUGAGACGGCGGGGGAUAAGCUCCGUACGUCGAAAGGGAAACAGCCCAGAUCGCCGGCUAAGGCCCCAAGCGUGUGCUAAGUGGGAAAGGAUGUGCAGUCGCAAAGACAACCAGGAGGUUGGCUUAGAAGCAGCCACCCUUGAAAGAGUGCGUAAUAGCUCACUGGUCAAGUGAUUGUGCGCCGAUAAUGUAGCGGGGCUCAAGCACACGCCGAA
This 1284-nucleotide ribosomal RNA is filed under the name Mycobacterium tuberculosis CWCFVRF MDRTB 670. Its description in RNAcentral is "bacterial LSU rRNA". It matches the Rfam family "Bacterial large subunit ribosomal RNA", at positions 1 to 1198 of the family's 2925-position model. Lineage: Bacteria; Bacillati; Actinomycetota; Actinomycetes; Mycobacteriales; Mycobacteriaceae. The record is from RNAcentral.